RNAcentral lists this ribosomal RNA (907 nucleotides) under Salmonella enterica. RNAcentral's name for it is "bacterial LSU rRNA". It matches the Rfam family "Bacterial large subunit ribosomal RNA", at positions 294 to 1211 of the family's 2925-position model. The record is from RNAcentral. Lineage: Bacteria; Pseudomonadati; Pseudomonadota; Gammaproteobacteria; Enterobacterales; Enterobacteriaceae.
GGAGCCCAGAGCCUGAAUCAGCAUGUGUGUUAGUGGAAGCGUCUGGAAAGGCGCGCGAUACAGGGUGACAGCCCCGUACACAAAAGCGCAUGUGUUGUGAGCUCGAUGAGUAGGGCGGGACACGUGGUAUCCUGUCUGAAUAUGGGGGGACCAUCCUCCAAGGCUAAAUACUCCUGACUGACCGAUAGUGAACCAGUACCGUGAGGGAAAGGCGAAAAGAACCCCGGCGAGGGGAGUGAAAAAGAACCUGAAACCGUGUACGUACAAGCAGUGGGAGCACCCUUCGGGGUGUGACUGCGUACCUUUUGUAUAAUGGGUCAGCGACUUAUAUUCUGUAGCAAGGUUAACCGAAUAGGGGAGCCGGAGGGAAACCGAGUCUUAACCGGGCGUUAAGUUGCAGGGUAUAGACCCGAAACCCGGUGAUCUAGCCAUGGGCAGGUUGAAGGUUGGGUAACACUAACUGGAGGACCGAACCGACUAAUGUUGAAAAAUUAGCGGAUGACCUGUGGCUGGGGGUGAAAGGCCAAUCAAACCGGGAGAUAGCUGGUUCUCCCCGAAAGCUAUUUAGGUAGCGCCUCGUGAAUUCAUCUCCGGGGGUAGAGCACUGUUUCGGCUAGGGGGCCAUCCCGGCUUACCAACCCGAUGCAAACUGCGAAUACCGGAGAAUGUUAUCACGGGAGACACACGGCGGGUGCUAACGUCCGUCGUGAAGAGGGAAACAACCCAGACCGCCAGCUAAGGUCCCAAAGUCAUGGUUAAGUGGGAAACGAUGUGGGAAGGCCCAGACAGCCAGGAUGUUGGCUUAGAAGCAGCCAUCAUUUAAAGAAAGCGUAAUAGCUCACUGGUCGAGUCGGCCUGCGCGGAAGAUGUAACGGGGCUAAACCAUGCACCGAAGCUGCGGCAGCGA